Molecule: transfer-messenger RNA, 326 nt
Filed under: Sphingomonas sp. 28-63-12
Lineage: Bacteria; Pseudomonadati; Pseudomonadota; Alphaproteobacteria; Sphingomonadales; Sphingomonadaceae
Rfam family: Alphaproteobacteria transfer-messenger RNA
About the family: Bacterial tmRNA, also known as 10Sa RNA or SsrA, is named for its dual tRNA and mRNA-like properties. Its role is to liberate the mRNA from a stalled ribosome. To accomplish this part of the tmRNA is used as a reading frame that ends in a translation stop signal.
Source: RNAcentral
GGCCUUUUCAUUUAUUGCAUAGUGCCUAUAUCGGGAUUGCCGGGUUCGCCCGGCUAUGGCGAUAAAAUGCAGUGUGAAAUAGACGCAGCGGACCCGGGGGCAGUACCCGGCGGCUCCACCACAACCGGCUCCGACCAAGAUCGGGAAGGGCGGGUUAUGACGGGGCCGAACCAGGAUCGACGUGUGUUGAAAGGCGCUGCUUUUGCCCGGGCUGAGUAACCUGUAAAAGGCUCAAAACCACAAGUGCUAACGAUAACGAAGCACUCGCAAUUGCGGCCUAACCCAAGACUUAACGGUCUGGGGGCCGGGCAACAGAACCCCCCACC